GGUUAUGGGGCUAGGGUAAGGUUUAAGGUUUUUGGCGUUAGGGUUAAAAUCACCGUCCAAAACCUUUUUAGGAACAUGUUUCAGACCUUUUGGAGUUGGUAACACCAAAAAAAAAAUGUAAAAUAAAAAAAAAUAUUUGGGGUGUUCAAGCUUGCUGAAGGUAAUACCCGGGUAUUAGGUUUUGGGGCUAGGGUAAGGUUUAAGGUUUUUGGUGUUAGGGUUAAAAUCACUGUCCAAAACCUUUUUAGGAACAUGUUUCAGACCUUUUGGAGUAGGUUACACCAAAAAAAAAUGUAAAAUGAAAAGAAAAUAUUUGGGGUGUUCAAGCUUCCUGAAGGUCAUACCCGGGUAUUAGGUUAUGGGGCUAUAGUAAAGUUUAAGGUUUUUGGCGUUAGGGUUAAAAUCACUGUCCAAUAUUUUUUAAGGAACUAUUUUCCAACCUUUUGGAGUUAGUUAGACCAAAAAAAAAACGAAAAAUGAAAAGAAAAUAUUUGGGGUGUUCGGGCUUCCUGAAGGUAAUACCAAGGUAUUAGGUUUUGGGGCUAGGGUAAGGUUUAAGGUUUUUGGCGUUAGGGUUAAAAUCACUGUCCAAAACCUUUGUAGGAACUCUUUUCCAACCUUUGGGAAUUAGUUAGACAAAAAAAAAGAUAAAUGAAAAAAAAAUAUUUGGGGUGUUCGGGCUUCCUGAAGGAAAUACCCGGGUAUUAGGUUUUGGGGCUAGGGUUAGGUUUAAGGUUUUUGGCGUUAGGGUUAAAAUCACUGUCCAAUAUUUUUUCAGGAACAUGUUUCAGACCUUUGGGAGUUAGUUAGACAAAAAAAAAAGAAAAAGAAAAAAAAAAUAUUUGGGGUGUUCGGGUUUCCUGAAGGUAAUACCCCGGUAUUAGGUUAUGGGGCUAGGGUAAGGUUUAAGGUUUUUGGCGUAAGGGUUAAAAUCACUGUCCAAAACCUUUUUAGGAACAUGUUUAAGACCUUUUACAGUUGGUAACACCAAAAAAAAAUGUAAAAUUAAAAAAAAAUAUUUGGGGUGUUCGGGCUUCCUGAAGGUAAUACUUUGUAUUACCUUUGUAGGAAGUCUUUUCCAACCUUUUGGAGUAAGUCUUUUGAAGGAAGUCUUUUCCAACCUUUUGGAGUUAGUUAGACAAAAAAAAAAAAGAUAAAUGAAAAAAAAAUAUUUGGGGUGUUCGGGCUUCCUGAAGGUAAUACCCGGGUAUUAGGUUAUGGGGCUAGGGUAAGGAUUAAGGUUUUUGGCGUAAGGGUUAAAAUCACUGUCCAAAACCUUUUUAGGAACAUGUUUCAGACAUUUUGGAGUUGGUUACACCAAAAAAAAUGUAAAAUGAAAAACAAUUUUUUUUGGGUGUUCGGGCUUCUUGAAGGUAAUACUAGGUUUCCUGGCUAGGGUAAUGUUUAAGGUUUUUGGUGUUAGGGUUAAAAUCAAUGUCCAAAACCUUUGUAGGAACUCUUUUCCAACCUUUGAGAGCAAGUUAGACCAAAAAAAAAAAGAAAAAUAAAAAAUAUAUAUUUGGGGUGUUCGGGCUUCCUGAAGGUAAUACCCGGGUAUUAGGUUUUGGGGCUAGGGUUAGGUUUAAGGUUUUUGGCGUUAGGGUUAAAAUCACUGUCCAAAACCUUUGUAGGAACUAUUUUCCAACCUUUGGGAAUUAGUUAGACAAAAAAAAAAAAGAUAAAUGAAAAAAAAAUAUUUGGGGUGUUCGGGCUUCCUGAAGGAAAUACCCGGGUAUUAGGUUUUGGGGCUAGGGUUAGGUUUAAGGUUUUUGGCGUUAGGGUUAAAAUAACUGUCCAAUAUUUUUUAAGGAACAUGUUUCAGACCUUUGGGAGUUAGUUAGACAAAAAAAAAAGAAAAAGAAAAAAAAACUAGGACCCCGUUGGGGCACUGGCGGGCCCGAGCUGUGUCGCGUCCCCCCCCCAACGCGCUGCCUCCCCGUCCCAUUCGCGUCCUCUGGCCGUCGCCCUCUCUGGUAACGCCCAUCACUGCAAAGACCCUUUUCCUUCAUCUGCGUUUGCUGUUCUUCCUGCCAGUGCGUGUUGCUUUCACUUACACUUGCCACAGCCAGCCUCGUGAGUGCCUAGCCUAUUGGAUAUCACUGUCACCUACACAGGACAGUCAUUACCUUUCUAUUAAUACUUUGUUUUUUAAUUUCACAUUAAUUUCCAUAUUGUAUAAACAACUGGAAAAAACUUGAGCCCCUGCCCCUGUAUAAUCAUGUGCACGUCUCUGUUUUAGCUCUAAGGUGAAUCUUCACUGCUCAUGUUCUCCUCAGAAGCAGUCACCUCACUCCCCUCAGGUUACUGUACACAUGCACCAACUGCCUGCUUCAGGUUUGGAUGGAGCUUCAUGGUUGUCUUUUGGAGAAAUGACCAGUCAAGUUGUGUUUGAAAUUUGAUUUUUUUCAGGGGCAAAAGGAGCCUCUGCAUUCUUGUCAAAUAUGUAAAUAGCAUGUUUUUGCAGGUGCUAAAAACCAGACUCUGAGUGUGUGUGUGUGCGUGUGUGUGUGUGUCUGUGUGUGUGUGUGUGUGUGUGUGUGUGUGUGUGCGUUCAAGUCACAUGACAUAUUUAACCGGAUGUAGCUGCAAGACGGAGCCUCGUUGACUCUCCGUUUCAACUUAUCUCAAAAGUGAGGACCUCAACCUAUAUACCAGUUUUUAAAUUGUGUUGAUAGGCCAAAUAAAACCAGAGUUAUGAUAAAUUAUGUCCGCGAUACUUGUUUUCUGCUUAUUUUGAUCACGUUCGGCGCUCGAUCGCGCUGUAUGAGACAGGAAAACAUAGCAUGCAGACAUUAGCGACAGGUCUUACAGGCGGAAAAGGCUUGCCAAAGGAAAAAAAAACACACCACAACAUCUCUCCUAUUGGUGGAAAACUUCACCACAACAACCAAUCCAAAAUUAUAUGGUGACUGAUUGACAAGGGGCGGGAACUUACGUUCUUCCUGCAAUAUGAGAAGGGAGGGAGGGACUCUCAGCAGGGAUGCAGUCUGGGACACGUAGUUGCAAACCUAGCGACUUUGUUGUUAGAUUCAAUGACUUUUCAGACCCCCUAGCGACUUUUUUUUAGAAAGAAAGUGACUUUUAUCGACUUCUUCUGGAGUUUAGAGACUCUGACAUGAAGCAGGCUUUCCUUACUGAGGAGUUAGCAACACUGCUAAGGGUGCAGAGCCACACAUGCGCUCCGAGCUCUGCA
This 3193-nucleotide long non-coding RNA is filed under the name Xyrichtys novacula (pearly razorfish). The record is from RNAcentral. Lineage: Eukaryota; Metazoa; Chordata; Actinopteri; Labriformes; Labridae.